UACGGAGGGGGCCAGCGUUGUUCGGAAUCAUUGGGCGUAAAGGGCGCGUAGGCGGCUUGGUAAGUCCGUUGUGAAAUCCCUCGGCUCAACCGAGGAACUGCGACGGAUACUGCUUGGCUUGAGUCCCGGAGAGGGUAGCGGAAUUCCCAGUGUAGCGGUGAAAUGCGUAGAUAUUGGGAGGAACAUCGGUGGCGAAGGCGGCUACCUGGACGGGUACUGACGCUGAUGCGCGAAAGCUAGGGGAGCAAACGGG
Molecule: ribosomal RNA, 253 nt
Filed under: uncultured bacterium
Lineage: Bacteria
Description: partial 16S ribosomal RNA
Rfam family: Bacterial small subunit ribosomal RNA
Source: RNAcentral